UACGUAGGGUGCAAGCGUUAAUCGGAAUUACUGGGCGUAAAGCGUGCGCAGGCGGCUUUGCAAGACAGAUGUGAAAUCCCCGGGCUUAACCUGGGAACUGCAUUUGUGACUGCAUGGCUAGAGUGCGGCAGAGGGGGAUGGAAUUCCGCGUGUAGCAGUGAAAUGCGUAGAUAUCUGGAGGAACACCGGUGGCGAAGGCGGCAUCCUGGACCGGCAUUGACGCUGAGGAGCGAAAGCCAGGGGAGCAAACGGG
This 253-nucleotide ribosomal RNA is filed under the name uncultured bacterium. RNAcentral's name for it is "partial 16S ribosomal RNA". It matches the Rfam family "Bacterial small subunit ribosomal RNA", at positions 524 to 776 of the family's 1533-position model. The record is from RNAcentral.